This 510-nucleotide ribosomal RNA is filed under the name uncultured bacterium. Its description in RNAcentral is "partial 16S ribosomal RNA". It matches the Rfam family "Bacterial small subunit ribosomal RNA", at positions 28 to 507 of the family's 1533-position model. The record is from RNAcentral.
GACGAACGCUGGCGGCGUGCUUAACACAUGCAAGUCGAACGAAGAGCGACGGAAGCUUGCUUCUAUCAAUCUUAGUGGCGAACGGGUGAGUAACGCGUAAUCAACCUGCCCUUCAGAGGGGGACAACAGUUGGAAACGACUGCUAAUACCGCAUACGAUCUAACCUCGGCAUCGAGGAUAGAUGAAAGGUGGCCUCUACAUGUAAGCUAUCACUGAAGGAGGGGAUUGCGUCUGAUUAGCUAGUUGGAGGGGUAACGGCCCACCAAGGCGAUGAUCAGUAGCCGGUCUGAGAGGAUGAACGGCCACAUUGGGACUGAGACACGGCCCAGACUCCUACGGGAGGCAGCAGUGGGGUAUCUUCCGCAAUGGACGAAAGUCUGACGGAGCAACGCCGCGUGAGUGAUGACGGCCUUCGGGUUGUAAAGCUCUGUUAAUCGGGACGAAAGGCCUUCUUGCGAAUAGUGAGAAGGAUUGACGGUACCGGAAUAGAAAGCCACGGCUAACUACGUG